Molecule: ribosomal RNA, 433 nt
Filed under: uncultured bacterium
Lineage: Bacteria
Description: partial 16S ribosomal RNA
Rfam family: Bacterial small subunit ribosomal RNA
Source: RNAcentral
AACGAACGCUGGCGGCAUGCCUAACACAUGCAAGUCGAACGAGACAUUCGGGACCAUGCGCGCACGGGUGCGUAACGCGAGGGAACCUGCACAUAUGUUCGGACUGACUCCCCGAAAGGGGUGCUCAUACCGGACAAUGUCUUCGGACCAAUGCUUUAUCGCCUUUGGAUGGGCCCGCGUUGGAUUAGCUGGUUGGUAGGGUAAAAGCCUACCAAGGCGACGUUUCAUAGCUGUUCUGAGAGGCUGACACACCACGCUGGGGCUGAGGCACGGCCUAGACUGCUACGGAACGGAGCAGUAGGGUAUAUUGGGGGAUGAGCCAUGAUGUGACCAAGCAGUGCGGCGGAAGUGAUCCAGGCCGUAGGGUUGUAAAUCUCGUUGACCAGAGACGAUAGUGACGGUACCGGGAGAAUAAGCACCGGCUAACUACGUG